Molecule: microRNA precursor, 85 nt
Filed under: Homo sapiens (human)
Lineage: Eukaryota; Metazoa; Chordata; Mammalia; Primates; Hominidae
Description: microRNA hsa-mir-4285 precursor
Source: miRBase by way of RNAcentral
AUUAGGCGGGGCGGCGAGUCCGACUCAUAAAUAUUUUAAGGAAUGACCCGGCCCUGGGGUGCGGAAUUGCUGCGCGGGCGGGGGC